GACGAACCGUGCGAACGUUGUUCGGAAUCACUGGGCUUAAAGGGCGCGUAGGCGGGUUGCCAAGUCUGUGGUGAAAUCCUCCAGCUUAACUGGAGAACUGCCGUGGAUACUGGCGACCUCGAGGGUGAUAGGGGUCUCUGGAACUGUGCGUGGAGCGGUGAAAUGCGUUGAUAUGCACAGGAACUCCGGUGGCGAAGGCGAGGGACUGGAUCACUUCUGACGCUGAGGCGCGAAAGCCAGGGGAGCGAACGGG
Molecule: ribosomal RNA, 253 nt
Filed under: uncultured bacterium
Lineage: Bacteria
Description: partial 16S ribosomal RNA
Rfam family: Bacterial small subunit ribosomal RNA
Source: RNAcentral